RNAcentral lists this unclassified non-coding RNA (366 nucleotides) under uncultured fungus. RNAcentral's name for it is "partial contains 5.8S ribosomal RNA and internal transcribed spacer 2". The stretch from base 1 to 133 matches the Rfam family "5.8S ribosomal RNA", at positions 22 to 154 of the family's 154-position model. The record is from RNAcentral. Lineage: Eukaryota; Fungi.
UGGUUCUGGCAUCGAUGAAGAACGCAGCAAAAUGCGAUAAGUAAUGUGAAUUGCAGAAUUCAGUGAAUCAUCGAAUCUUUGAACGCACAUUGCGCCCCGUGGCAUUCCGCGGGGCAUGCCUGUUCGAGCGUCGGUCGAUACCCCCUCCGCCCGGUGCUUUUGCUGCACCUUCAGGCGGGCCUUGGACGUUCUUCUCGCUGGGCACCCCGGCGGGAAACGCUUUAAAAAAGUUGGCGGCCGCGUUGGGCUCCAGACGUAACGGAAACAAAACGUUUGUGAGGGCUUGACGUGUGCCGAUGCACACAGGGGUGAGAGACCCUCUGUCGACCUUGUUCUGACCUCGGAUCAGGUAGGGAUACCCGCUGA